GAUGAACGCUGGCGGCGUGCCUAAUACAUGCAAGUCGAGCGAACAGACGAGGAGCUUGCUCCUCUGACGUUAGCGGCGGACGGGUGAGUAACACGUGGAUAACCUACCUAUAAGACUGGGAUAACUUCGGGAAGCCGGAGCUAAUACCGGAUAAUAUAUUGAACCGCAUGGUUCAAUAGUGAAAGACGGUUUUGCUGUCACUUAUAGAUGGAUCCGCGCCGCAUUAGCUAGUUGGUAAGGUAACGGCUUACCAAGGCAACGAUGCGUAGCCGACCUGAGAGGGUGAUCGGCAACACUGGAACUGAGACACGGUCCAGACUCCGACGGGAGGCAGCAGUAGGGAAUCUUCCGCAAUGGGCGAAAGCCUGACGGAGCAACGCCGCGUGAGUGAUGAAGGUCUUCGGAUCGUAAAACUCUGUUAUUAGGGAAGAACAAAUGUGUAAGUAACUAUGCACGUCUUGACGGUACCUAAUCAGAAAGCCACGGCUAACUACGUGCCAGCAGCCGCGGUAA
Molecule: ribosomal RNA, 513 nt
Filed under: uncultured bacterium
Lineage: Bacteria
Description: partial 16S ribosomal RNA
Rfam family: Bacterial small subunit ribosomal RNA
Source: RNAcentral